Molecule: ribosomal RNA, 119 nt
Filed under: Eutrema salsugineum
Lineage: Eukaryota; Viridiplantae; Streptophyta; Magnoliopsida; Brassicales; Brassicaceae
Source: RNAcentral
GUGUGUGAUCAUACCAGCACUAAUGCACCGGAUCCCAUCAGAACUCCGUAUUUAAGCGUGCUUGGGCAAAAGUAAUACUAAGAUGGGUGACCUUCCGGAAAGUCCUCGUGUUGCACCCC